RNAcentral lists this ribosomal RNA (397 nucleotides) under uncultured bacterium. RNAcentral's name for it is "partial 16S ribosomal RNA". It matches the Rfam family "Bacterial small subunit ribosomal RNA", at positions 523 to 918 of the family's 1533-position model. The record is from RNAcentral.
AUACGUAGGGGGCGAGCGUUGUCCGGAAUGAUUGGGCGUAAAGGGCGCGUAGGCGGCCUGUUAAGUAUGGAGUGAAAGUCCUGUUUUCAAGAUGGGAAUUGCUUUGGAUACUGAUGGGCUUGAGUGCAGGAGAGGUUAUCGGAAUUCCCGGUGUAGCGGUGAAAUGCGUAGAGAUCGGGAGGAACACCAGUGGCGAAGGCGGGUAACUGGACUGCAACUGACGCUGAGGCGCGAAAGUGUGGGGAGCAAACAGGAUUAGAUACCCUGGUAGUCCACACUGUAAACGAUGAAUGCUAGGUGUAAGAGGUAUCGACCCCUUUUGUGCCGGAGUUAACACAAUAAGCAUUCCGCCUGGGGAGUACGGCCGCAAGGUUGAAACUCAAAGGAAUUGACGGGG